AUUUGAGUAAAAUGCCUGAUUCUCCUGUGUGGCCAGUCUCGUGUCAAUUAAACUCUCUACUACAAUGCCAUGGUGUCAAUGCAUCUUGUCUGUGCAGUGCGCAGAAAGAACCCACUGGCAAUUACAUUACCAGUAGCUAUCGCUCUUCUGUCCUUCAAACAGGAAAUACUUCAACCCUGGAACCACGGCACCAGCACCUGCUUCUGAUGAGGGUCUCCGACUGCUUCUGUUCAUGGCACAAGGUGAAGGACAGCCAGUGUGUAAAGAGCACAUGGCAAGAGAGAGGAAAAGUGGGGAUCCACCCCCACGACCCAAACACCUUUCACCAGGACCCAUCUCCAACUUUGGGGAACAAAUUUUAAUGUGAGAUUUGGUGGAGACAAAUGUUCAAACCAUACCAGAUAACUCACAACAUCUGCCACUAUGCUUCUGUUAAGGAAAAAGGAUCCGUUGGUACUCACGGCUUGGGACAGGAAUUUAAGUUCCUAAGAGAAAAAGGAAAUGAUCCAAGAAGCUUUGAAAUUUUAUCAAUGACAUUUUCUGCAUUUGAAAGUUCAAACUCAGCUUUAUUAAUGGAAAGUUGUCUCAUGUUAAUUUCUAUUAAUGUAUUUGCAUUUCUGAUUUUUCUAAUGGCCUCUGAUGCUUAUCUGCAUUGUAUCAUGAAAAAUGUGGAACUCAUUCUUCUAAUGUAUAAGUUGAUAAGGUUUGUCACUGACAAUCUAAUUACUAGAAAAUUAAGGAUUUUAUAUAAAAGCAAAAAAUCAUAAAAUAACCUGGAUAGUCUAUCAACAGUUUUCCAAAUUUAUUGAGGGACAAUUUACAUAAAAUCAAACCUUUCUAUUUUAAGUAUACAGUUGAUGAGUUGUGACAAUUUUAUAAGGUUGUAUAGGCACUACCAUAAUUGAUAUAUAGAACAUUUAUCUCAUUAUAAAAAUGUCUCUCCUUUCCAUUUGCCAUCACUUCACUAAACUCUUGGCAUUAGGCAAACACUGAUUUGCAUUUUGUUAUAAUAGUUUGACUUUUCCAGAUUUUUAUACAUACAGUAUGCAGUAUUUUGUAUUUGUCUUCUCAAACUUAUUAUAUGUUCAAGAUUUAUCUUCAUUAUGGUUGUAUUAUCUAUUGCUGCAUAGUAUUACAUAUUAUGGAUAUACUAUAAUUUGUUUAUUCAUUCACUAGUUGAUUGAUAUUUAGAUUUUUUUAAAUAAUUGGACUAUUAUGAAUAGUGUUGCUAUGGUUUAACAGAGGAUGAGACUGUGAAAACAAGGGGUUGGAGUGAUGUCGGAGAGAGUCUGUGAGCCACAAAAUGCGGGUAGCUUUUAAAAGCUGAAAAAGACAAGGAAAUGAAUUUUACCCUGAAGCCUCUGGAUGGAAUGUAGCCCAGCAAACACUGACCUGCACAGUGAGAGACGAUAAAUUUGUGUUAACUUAAACCACUAGGUUGUGGUAAUUUGUUACAAUGGAGAUAGAAGCCAAUACAGAUUUUGAUUUGUUCACAUAUGGUAUAGAAAGGUGUUUUCAUUUUUCUUGGAUAAAUAUGUAAGAGUGGGAUGGCUGAGUCCUAUGGUAAGUACAAAGGUAUCCUUUUGAAUAACCAGAUCACCUUAAAACCUACCUUGUGCCAAGGAAAGGAACAUUUUAUGUUCAGCCUCCAAGAUUGUUGUCAUAUGUGACUUGCCACUGCAAUGUAUUAGUACUGGAUGAAUUCAUUAAUUUUUGUUGCUAAAACUAUAAUCACGGGAGUCAAACACAAGUAAGUUUUAACACUUAUGUAACCUCAGAAAGUUACAUACCUUCUUUGUUAUUCAGUUUCCAUGUAUGUAUGAUGGGAG
Molecule: long non-coding RNA, 1829 nt
Filed under: Homo sapiens (human)
Lineage: Eukaryota; Metazoa; Chordata; Mammalia; Primates; Hominidae
Description: HSALNT0180596
Source: RNAcentral